ACUUAAAUAGCUUAUAUUUAGAGCAUAAUAUUGAAGAUAUUAGGGAAAUUAAUUGUAAUUUUUAAGUA
RNAcentral lists this transfer RNA (68 nucleotides) under Pogonus iridipennis. RNAcentral describes it as "tRNA-Phe". The record is from RNAcentral. Lineage: Eukaryota; Metazoa; Arthropoda; Insecta; Coleoptera; Carabidae.